GUAACACGUGGGCAAUCUGCCCUGCACUCUGGGACAAGCCCUGGAAACGGGGUCUAAUACCGGAUACUGAGCCACUUGGGCAUCCAAGUGGUUCGAAAGCUCCGGCGGUGCAGGAUGAGCCCGCGGCCUAUCAGCUUGUUGGUGAGGUAAUGGCUCACCAAGGCGACGACGGGUAGCCGGCCUGAGAGGGCGACCGGCCACACUGGGACUGAGACACGGCCCAGACUCCUACGGGAGGCAGCAGUGGGGAAUAUUGCACAAUGGGCGAAAGCCUGAUGCAGCGACGCCGCGUGAGGGAUGACGGCCUUCGGGUUGUAAACCUCUUUCAGCAGGGAAGAAGCGAAAGUGACGGUACCUGCAGAAGAAGCGCCGGCUAACUACGUGCCAGCAGCCGCGGUAAUACGUAGGGCGCAAGCGUUGUCCGGAAUUAUUGGGCGUAAAGAGCUCGUAGGCGGCUUGUCACGUCGGUUGUGAAAGCCCGGGGCUUAACCCCGGGUCUGCAGUCGAUACGGGCAGGCUAGAGUUCGGUAGGGGAGAUCGGAAUUCCUGGUGUAGCGGUGAAAUGCGCAGAUAUCAGGAGGAACACCGGUGGCGAAGGCGGAUCUCUGGGCCGAUACUGACGCUGAGGAGCGAAAGCGUGGGGAGCGAACAGGAUUAGAUACCCUGGUAGUCCACGCCGUAAACGGUGGGCACUAGGUGUGGGCAACAUUCCACGUUGUCCGUGCCGCAGCUAACGCAUUAAGUGCCCCGCCUGGGGAGU
RNAcentral lists this ribosomal RNA (760 nucleotides) under Streptomyces viridis (ex (Lombardo-Pellegrino 1903) Waksman 1953). RNAcentral describes it as "bacterial SSU rRNA". It matches the Rfam family "Bacterial small subunit ribosomal RNA", at positions 110 to 881 of the family's 1533-position model. The record is from RNAcentral. Lineage: Bacteria; Bacillati; Actinomycetota; Actinomycetes; Kitasatosporales; Streptomycetaceae.